GACCUUAUUGGAACACUGAGAGCAUAUUCUAGUCAAGUCCUGGUCUGAGUUGGACAAGUCUAGGGGACAAGUGUACAGUAUGCCUGGGUGGAGAAGCACUUUGGCCCUGACUUUCUAGAACAAAUUGUGUUGACCAGAGACAAGACCGUGGUCUCUGCCGACCUUCUCAUAGAUGACCGGCCAGACAUCACAGGGGCCGAGUCACACCCCAGCUGGGAGCACAUCCUCUUCACCUCCUGCCACAACUACCACCUGCAGCUGCAGCCCCCUCGCCGCAGGCUGCACUCGUGGGCAGAUGACUGGAAGGCCAUCUUGGACAGCAAACGGCCACGCUGAGGGCUGUGCUGCACCUGUCUGGUGGUCCAGUGUGGGGCUCACAGCUCAUGACUGGACAGCAAACACCCCGCUGAGGGCUGUGCUGCAGUUUCUGGUACUUCCCAGAGGACCCAGUGAACACUUCGGUCAAAACAACUUCCGACACACGUCCCUUCUCCCCCUAGCCCAGCAAGGCCUUAACCUGGUAUUGGGACAGGGCUGGAAGAAAGGCACGCACUCCAGACAAGUUGGUCUGACCUCAGGCAGAGGCUCCCCACCACUGCCUCUCACUGCGCACAAUAGGUGUGUUCUCUGAGACGUGAGAGUACCCUGGUCCAGGACCUGCAAGGCGUGGAGUGCCAGGGAUAGAUGACAGAGGUUCCCUCGGCAGGCAUGUGUCCCUCUACCUCUACUGUAGAAUCUCGUCCAGCCUACCUACUCAGUCUCUGUGGCUUGCCAAGGCCACCAGGCUCUUUUGGAGGCCAACAGUGACCCUGCCUAUGGCCAGUGCCAUGGUCUCUUGCUCUGGUGUCCCUAGAUCCCAUUCAUGGCCCAGAAAGGAGUCAGCAGGCUCGAAUAUUUGUUGACGACAUGAGAAAUAAAUGCUGUUCACAUUU
RNAcentral lists this long non-coding RNA (932 nucleotides) under Rattus norvegicus (Norway rat). RNAcentral's name for it is "long non-coding RNA NONRATT004351". The record is from RNAcentral. Lineage: Eukaryota; Metazoa; Chordata; Mammalia; Rodentia; Muridae.